RNAcentral lists this long non-coding RNA (547 nucleotides) under Cricetulus griseus (Chinese hamster). Its description in RNAcentral is "lncRNA (ENSCGRG00015039518.1)". The record is from RNAcentral. Lineage: Eukaryota; Metazoa; Chordata; Mammalia; Rodentia; Cricetidae.
UCAGGCGGGGGUGGUGGGAUGGGGGUGGUGGGGUGUUCUGGUCUGGGGUCGGGAGCGGGCAGGGGCUCACUCACCUAGUUCCAGGUCAGUCUGCGGCGGCGGAAUGUAAGAAUGGGGUGCUAGCGGAUUGGUGGGGCAGGUGGCUCCUCCCUCUCUGGGCGUGUCUGGCCCAAGCCGGCAGGCUCAGGCGGGGGUGGUGGGAUGGGGGUGGUGGGGUGUUCUGGUCUGGGGUCGGGAGCGGGCAGGGGCUCACUCACCUAGUUCCAGGUCAGUCUGCGGCGGCGGAAUGUAAGAAUGGAGUGCUAGCAGAUUGGAGGGGCAGGGGGCUCCUCCCUCUCUGGGCGUGUCUGGCCCAAGCCGGCAGGCUCAGGAGGGGGUGGUGGGAUGGGGGUGGUGGGGUGUUCUGGUCUGGGGUCGGGAGCGGGCAGGGGCUCACUCACCUAGUUCCAGGUCAGUCUGCGGCGGCGGAAUGUAAGAAUGGGGUGCUAGCGGAUUGGUGGGGCAGGUGGCUCCUCCCUCUCUGGGCGUGUCUGGCCCAAGCCGGCAG